ACUCCAUAACCGGCCCACAGCCCAUUAGGGUUUUACCUUAUUCUCUGUAUCCUGCUAUUAUCCUUGUAUAUAUAUCCCUUUUUCUAUUAAUGAAAGACACAGUUCACAACACGUUAUCAGCACAUAAGCUCGAAAAAAAAAAAAAAAAAAAAAAAAAACCCUAACCCUAAACUUGACGAGCCCUAGCCGCCGAGCAAACAAAAGCCUUCGCCGUUUUCGUCCGUUUCCGAUCUCAUCUUUCACGUCGAGGUAAGUAACCUCAAGUUUAAUAUAUAAAACGAUCCACUCAUACUUUCUAAACAGAUCGUUCUUGCAUGAUUGUUAUUGCAUGAUUGUUUGUUUGGUUCAUGUUUUGUUUAUUUAAUCGUUGCAUAAGAUUGUUUGAAUAUUAUUAUGUUCAUAGUCUCAUAUAAUAUAUUUUACUACUAAAAGCAUCUAAGUCUACGUUUGAUUCAUGUAGUCAAUAUUGUCAUGCUUAAUUAAUUAAGAUACAAAACUGAUCCAUGCUUUCGAUCGUUGUUUAUCAUUGCAUUAGAUCUGUUCAUAUAAUAUAUUAUUUUAUUAUUAAAAGCACCUAAGUCUAUGUUAUUGAUCUUCCUAGUUAUUAUAGUCAUGUUGUAUUAAUUAAUUCUCAUAAGAAAACAAUAUUACUUUGCACGUUUGAUAUGUCGGAGUCGUAGAUUGAUUGAUACUCUACGUUUAACAUAUUUCAAUUAUUAUUUAAUUCAUCACGUUAUUGCUAUAAAUUUGAUUCAUAAUUGAAUUAUGCUUAACUGUUCUAAGACCAAAUAUUAUAUAUAGUAUUUCAUCUAAUUAUAUUUGAGUAUUGAUCAUUGCUAAUUUGCCAUUAAGAGUCGUAAGUCAAUCGCUAUUACUUACGUAUUAAAAUUGUUUAUAAUAAUCUGUGAAAGAGUAAUUAUAGUCACACGCUACGAUUGAGUUAUAAAUUGAUUGAUAAUCAUAAAUUUAGCAUAUUAAAGUUAUUAUUCAUCAUAUACGCGGUUAAACCGGUUUGCUUGAUUGUUCUCUCAUACCACCUCCAUAAAUAUAAACCCUAAUCGCGAUUUUAAUCGUGAAAACCAAACCGCUAUUUCCGUUUUUAACCGAAACCUUAAUCGAAACCUUAACCAGAACAUAACCGGUUUGAUUAACCGGUUUGAUUAACCGGUUUAAUCCUAAUCGCGAUUUUAAAAUGCGAUACCCUAACUGCAAGUUGCGGUUUGAUUAUAGACCUAAAACCGGACUUAUGUUUGGUAUAAUCCAAAAGAAAACCGAAACCCUAAAUCCUCGAUUAAACCGGUUUUAAUAAACCCUAAGUCACGGUUUAAGAUCAAGUUUCCCAUAUAAGGAAAGUUUCCAUAAAUAGAAAAUCUCCAUAAAUAGAAAGUUCCAUAUAAGGAAAGUUUCCAGAAAUAGAAAGUUUUCAUAAAUAGAAAAUCUCCAUAAAUAGAAAGUUUCCAUAUAAAGAAAGUUUACAGAAAUAGAAAGUUUCGUAAAAUAGCAAGUUUCCCAAAAUAAAAGGUUCCCUAAAAUAGCAAGUUUCCCAAAAUGGAAAGUUACCAAAAUAGGAAACGCCUUCAUAAGGAAAUAUUCCAAAACCCUAAAGUACAUAAUUGUUUAGGAUUUCUUUCUAGAUGAGAAAUAGAAAUUUUCCAUAAAAGAAAAGUUCCAUAUAAGGAAAGUUUCCAUAAAUAGAAAGUUCCAUACAUAAAACCGAAAUCCUAGCAAAAACCCUAGUACUAUAAAUCGCGGAUGCUAAAACCCUAAAACUUAACCGCGAAAUCCUAAUAUCCUAAUCUAGUAUGAUCCGAUUGUUUGGUUGUUGUAUACUAGAUCAAUCUUCUAGGGUUGAUUUCAUCCAUAUAUAUAUAACAUGAUUGUUUAGAAAACACUUGCUGAAGACAAGCAUGACUCGGUCUUAAAUACCGCAUGACUUGGUCUAACCGAUUACAUGAGUUCUCAUUUAACUCUAUAUAUUAUAGAUAUCAGAAAUCAACUAUUAUGAAUACACGGCACUCAAUGCCUCUGGUGACAAUUAUUUACAAUGGGCUUUGGACACCGAGAUUGUCCUAAAGGAAAAAGAGCUUGGUGAAUCUAUUAUGGAAGGAAACAAUAUCACCAGAAGAGAAAGAUAUAAGGCGAUUACUAACAUACGCCAUCACCUCAAUGAGAGUCUCAAAAUCAGUACCUCACUAUUAAGAAUCCUCUGGACCUCAGGACAGAGUUGAAAAAAAAAAAAAAAAAACGGUGCUAUUACCCAAAAGCCCGAUUCGAUCGAAAGAAUCUCAGAUUCUAAUAAUUCAAAUCCAUGAAUGAGUAUAACUCAGCACUAUUUAAAAUAGUGUCAAUACUGAGAUUCCGUGGUGAGGAAAUUAC
RNAcentral lists this long non-coding RNA (2376 nucleotides) under Arabidopsis lyrata. RNAcentral describes it as "long non-coding RNA (ALYR_LNC002893)". The record is from RNAcentral. Lineage: Eukaryota; Viridiplantae; Streptophyta; Magnoliopsida; Brassicales; Brassicaceae.